Molecule: long non-coding RNA, 6854 nt
Filed under: Lactuca sativa (garden lettuce)
Lineage: Eukaryota; Viridiplantae; Streptophyta; Magnoliopsida; Asterales; Asteraceae
Description: long non-coding RNA (LSAT_LNC002749)
Source: RNAcentral
GAGUUUCCCAAAAUACCACGUAAACACAUAUCAGCCACUCAAGGAUGUAACUCUAUUGACCCUCUGGUCGAAUAUCUCUAUGGGACCCUCUUGGUACCAUAACUCUGUGGACCCAUUGGUCCUAACUCUGUAAACUCUGAAUCAUGCAUAUCUCAUAUCACAAUAAAUCACAACACAUAAUAACAUGCAAAUACACUGGCAUAUAACUCUAAAAUACUAUGUCACAUAACUCUGUUACCACACUAGGUAAAGUAUAGUGAGAAGACUCACCUUAGAUGUCUCGGUAAAUCUCUGACUUGGUGGAAAUAUGAUCUAGCCUCCGCCUAAUCACAUAAAGUAAAUAUUUUCAUAAAUAUAACUCUCGGGACUAGACUCAACCCUCUCUAGGCACCCUCAGCAGGCAAAAGACCAUUUUACCCCUCUUUUAGCUCAAAGGCCACAUUGUUGACCAAACCCUAAAAGUCAACCAAAGUCAACGGUCAAACUUUGACCCGACUCGUCGAGUUCACUUGGGCGACUCGGCGAGUCUACACAUGUCCACUAACUNCGCCGAGUCUCAAGAACAACUCGGCGAGUUCCGCCUUGAACUCCAGUCCCCUAAUCCCCCUUUGACUCACUGAGUUAUUUACGGGAAACCCUAACCCUACUCGCCGAGUCUGAUCUUUGGACUCGACGAGUUCAUGCCAUGCACAAACUCCAUAAACCUCCUGAGUUCAGAUAUGUUCCUUUAAUCCAUAGAUCUGACCUUCCCAAGCAUGAUAAUCACGUAAAGUUCAGACCUUGACACUCAUAUAACAUCUAGAUGGUCUCACUUGGUGAUUUAGCCCCAAAAAUAACAUCCUAAGUUCAUGGCUCCCAAAAUAACUCAUAAAGCUCCAAGGGUUAAGGUCUCUGGACCUCUUUGAGUCCAGAUCCAAAGCAUAAACUCGAGAAGGGACCAAUUGCUCCACAUAUUCAUCCUCUAAAGGGGUUAGAAAACCCUAACUCUAAGAAUCAACACCAAAUAUGAAGAAGGUCCGAAUAAAUACCUCAAGAUGAAGUCUCUGAACUCUAAAAUCACCAGAAUCGCACCUCCUUCAGCCUCCUCUUGCCUUGGUCACCUUCUUCUUGCAAUUACACCAACAAAAUGAUCAAGAAUGGACUCUCCUUCCUUACAAACGUUCUAAAUCUCUUAGGGUUUCUCUCUAGGGUUUGGUAGCCGCAAAUGACGGCCCUAAGGGCCUUUAAAUAGGUCCCAAACCCAGGAAAUUAGGGUUUCAUUAAACAGCGUGGACUCGCCGAGUCCACUCAUGAACUCGUCAAGUCCAGCUGUGAACCUGGAUAUGAAUCCGCGACCAUACUCGGCGAGUCUGAACACCAACUCGUUGAGUCCCCUCCCAACCUCCAAAAAUAAAGAAACAAAUAAUAUACCUGGGAAUCCGGGUGUUACAAUUCUCCCCCACUAGAAUUAGACUUCGCCCUCGAAGUCUCACUCUGCAAACAAUUCUGGAUGUUGCUCCCACAUCUCACGCUCCGGCUCCCAAGUCAACUCUGACCCUUUUCGAUGCUGCCACUGGACCUGCACCAGAGGCACUUCCUUGUUCCUCAAAACCUUGAUCUUCNAAUCGCCACCGGUCUCUCAAUAUAGUUUAGGCUCGCAUCCACCUGAAUAUCUUCUAAUGGCACCACUGCCGACUCGUCGGCUAUACACUUUCUCAGCUGCGACACGUGGAAAGUGUCAUGAAUCUGACCCAACUCGGAAGGUAACUCCAAACGGUAGGCUACCUUGCCUACUCUUGCGGUCACUCUGAAAGGACCAAUAUAUCGGGGCCCCAACUUGCCCCUCUUCUAGAAUCGAAUCACUCCUUUCCAAGGAGAGACCUUCAGGAGCACGAAGUCGCCGACCUGAAACUCGAGCUCGGACCGGCGCCUGUCCGCAUAACUCUUCUGACGACUCUGAGCGGUCAACAACCUCUAUCUGACCUGCUGAAUCUGCUCUGUCGUCUGAAGCAUGAUCUCAGUACUACCCAUCACACGUUGCCCUAUCUCUCCCCAACAAAUGGGGGUGCGACACCUCCUCCUAUACAACAGCUCAAACGGUGGCAUACCAAUGCUCGAAUGAUGGUUGUUGUUGUUGGAAAACUCUGCCAAGGGCAAGCACGUGUCCCAACUUCCGCCGAAAUCCAACACACAUGCUCGGAGCAUGUCCUCGAGCGUCUGAAUUGUCCGCUCACUCUACAUGUCAGUCUGUGGGUGGUAUGCGGUACUAAAAUGCAGUCUCGUACCUAAUUCCUCAUGAAACUUCUUCUAGAAUCUGGAAGUGAAACAUACAUCUCGAUCUGAGACAAUCGAGAUCGGCACUCCAUGUCGCGAUACCACCUCUCUCACGUACAUCUCUGCCAACCUCUCCGCGAAAGAGCUCUCACUGAUAGCAAGGAAAUGAGCGCUCUUCGUCAACCUGUCCAUAAUCACCCAAAUUGCAUCGACACCUUUCGCAGUCCUUGGAAAUUUGGUGAUGAAAUCCAUGGUAAUCUGUUCCCAUUUCCACUCGGGAAUCUCUAACGGCUGCAGCUUACCAUGUGGACGCUGGUGCUCGGCCUUAACCCUACGACAGGUCAAGCAUCUCUCUACAAACCAUGCGACAUCCCUCUUCAUACUGGGCCACCAAUACUCCCUCUUCAGGUUAAAAUACAUCUGAGUGGCCCCAGGAUGGAUCGAGAACUUCGAUCGAUGAGACUCUUCCAUCAAAAUGGUACGCGUCCCGCCCACAAACGAUACCCAUAUCCGACCCUGAAAUGUCAUAAGCCCCCGGCUAUCGGUAACGAAUUCCGAUACCAGCCCGACAACUCGCUCUCCCUUCUGGCUUUCUGGCCUCACAGCCUCAACCUGGACCCCACGAAUAGUGUCCAACACCGGAUUCAUCACUGUCAAUCUCAAACAAACAUUUUACAUCGGGGCGCCCUCCGCCCUACGGCUCAGUGCAUCGGCUACAACAUUAGCCUUGCCCGGGUGGUACAGGAUCUCACAAUCGUAAUCCUUCACCACAUCCAACCAUCUCCUCUGGCGCAUAUUCAGGUUGGGCUGAUCCAUUAGAUACUUCAGGCUCUUGUGGUUCGUGUAUAUGGUACACCGAACCCCAUACAGAUAGUGACGCCAGAUCUUCAGGGCGAACACCACCACCCCCAACUCCAGAUCGCGGGUGGGAUACCUCAUCUCAUGAGGCUUCAGCUGCCUCGAUGCGUAUGCUAUCACAUGACCCCUCUGCAUAAGCACCGCUCCCAGCCCAGAUAUCGACGCGUCACAAUACACUACGAAGUCCUACAUCCCCUCCGGAAGGGCUAACACUGGAGCUUCGCAUAAUCUCUGGCGAAGUGUCUCGAAGGAGGCCUGCUGCUCUGGACCCCAUGAAAAAGCAACACCCUUCCGGGUCAACUUGGUGAGUGGCACGACGAUCUUGGAGAAAUCCCUGAUAAAUCUCCGAUAAUAACCAGCCAACCCUAGGAAACUCCUGAUCUCGGUAGGUGACCUCGGCACCUCCCAACUCAUCACUGCCUCAAUCUUGUCCGGGUCGACCAAUAUCCCUUUCUUGUUAAUGAUGUGCCCUAGGAACUGGACCUCUCGCAACCAAAAAUCACACUUGGAGAAUUUGGCAUAAAUCCUCUCCGAUCUCAGAACUCCGAGGAUCUCCCUCAAAUGCUCCUCAUGCUGCUCUCUGGAUCUCGAAUACACCAAUAUGUCGUCGAUGAACACGAUCACCGAGCGAUCCAACAUCGGCCUGCACACUCUAUUCAUGAGAUCCAUGAACACCGUCGGUGCAUUGGUGAGUCCGAAAGGCAUCACCACGAACUCGUAAUGUCCAUAACGAGUCUUGAAUGCUGUCUUUUGGAUGUCCUCGUCUCGCACCCUCACCUGGUGAUAUCCAGACCUCAAAUCGAUCUUGGAGAACCAAGAUGCUCCAUGCAACUGAUCGAACAGAUCGUCGAUCCUCGACAACGGGUAACGGUUCUUGACCGUUAGCUUGUUCAACUCCCGGUAAUCAAUGCACAUCCGAUGUGAACCAUCCUUAUUCUUGACAAAAAGGAUAGGCGCUCCCCAAGGUGAGCCGCUCGGCCGAAUAAACCCUUUCCCCAGCAGCUCCUGAAGCUGCGAGGACAACUCCUGCAUCUCUGGAGGCGCGAGGCGAUAAGGCGCCUUGGCGAUAGGCGCAACCCCAAGAACCAAAUCAAUACUGAACUCAAACUGCCUCUCGGGAGGCACACCUGGCAACUCUUCCGGAAAUACAUCCGGAAACUCGCGCACUAUCGGAACCUCAUCAACUGACCUCAGAUCACCUCGGCAGCAUACACCGUCCUCUCGUCAGCUAUGGAAACUCUCAGAGGUCGACUCAAUGCCUCUCGGCUAAUACUGAUGUGCUCACUAAAAGCCAAAGAUACAAAAGACCGACUUGCACCCGAGUCAAAUAACACCAAGGCAGGUACAUAAUUCACAAGAAAAGUACCUACGCAUAACACGAAAUAAACACAAUAUCCCAACAUCGAAAUAAAUACAAGAAAGGAUACAUACCAGCCACGACGUCGGGCGCAACGCGGACCUCCUCCGCAGUCAACUGAAAGGCUCUCCCUCGUGCCUUCGGUACCUCGGCCUUCACUGGCCGGCUCUUAGCAGCUCUGAUAGCAGCAGGGGCAGAUGCCUGAGGUGCUCCCUGGGCUGUCCCUCGCAACUGUGGACACUCUGCCUUGCGGUGUCCGGUCUGGUUGCAGUGGAAACAUACUGCAAACCCCUUGGGGCAAUCCUUGGCCAUAUGCCCCUCCUUUCCAUAUUUGUAGCAAGAUCCCACUCUGCACACCCCCAUCGUGGCUCUUGCCGCACUUACCACAAGUGCGGCCCUUCUGACUCCCAUAUCUCGAAUCAACAGGCUUGGCCUGCUUGGCUGCCGGAUGAGACUGCGCCGGUCGCCGAUCCCUCCCCUGAGACUCAGCCUCCUCCCUAGCUUGAGUCUCUAGCUCUAUCUCCCUCUUCCGUGCAUUUGCCUGAAGCUCAGCAAAUGUCCAGUACAUUGAGUUCGCUAUGAACUCUCGUAUAUCCCUCCUCAAAAUGCUCAGAUAUCAGCUCAUACGUGCCUGCUCGGAGGACACGUGCUCUGGGCAGAACAUCGCCCUUUCAUGGAACAUUCGAUUAAUCGUCGUAAUAGACUCGGUACCCUGCUUGAGGGUCAGAAACUCCUGUGCCAAUCACUCCCUCUCCACCUGGGGAACGUACUCGUCUCGAAACAUAGCAGUGAACCUCUCCCAGGUUAAUACAGCAAGCUCAGUAGGCGUGUAGUGCGCCGUCACAAACUUCCACCAGUCCUUCGCUCCCAAGCGAAGCUGGUUCAGCACGAACCGGACUCUCAAAUGCUCAGGAGAUGAGCAAUUAAAGAAACACCCCUCCAUGUCUGAAAUCCACCUCAUCGCUGCAAUCGGGUCCUGGGUCCCAUCAAACUCCGCCGGCUUUGUGUUGCUGAACUCCCGGAACAACAACGCAUCACCACCCUGCGGUCUAGCCGCAGCUACAGCUGCNAGUGGCCGCAACAACAGCCGCAUCAGAAAGAGCAGCGUAUCUCUCGUCAAUUGUCUCUAUCAGGGUGGUCUUGAUAGACCCAAACAUCUCUGGGAUCUCAGCGUGUAUGGCAGCAGCCACCUCAUCAUGAAUCAUCUGGCGGAGCUCCUCGUCACUCACACCCCCUCCACUGGUCCCUGGUCUGUGGCGCAUUCCCACCAUGAUACCUCUCUGAAAUACAACACAAGAUAUCAAAGACUCGCUCGAGCGUGCAUACACUCGAUACCCCUAAUCCUACUUGGUUCCUGGUACCCUAAGGAUUCUUACUUGGGUUGCGCAUUGAUCCGGUGCCUUCGGUAGUACGGGCCCAAUACUACCAACCACACCAACUCAGUAUUCAUUCCAAGUCCUCCUCCCAGAGUCCCAAAUUUUCAAGCACUCUACUAUCUUAAUCAUGUGCUACUCACUAGCAGAUAACUCAUAAGCACCUCGCUGCUAUCUAAACACUCUCAAGCAUUGCUAGCAGCAAAAACCCCUAGACUAAGGCAUCAUAUAUCAGGCCACUCUAGUCCUAAUAAGAAUACCUAGUCUACUCUAGCAUGCAUAUCAUAAUUCAUCAUAUAGCAUAACAUAACAUAUCUGAUAGCACUUAUUGUAAGGGUAUUUUGGGAAAUCACCGUUCGGGCGCUGGUUGAUCGUAUACACGACUCUGCUCUGUUUGUCUCAAACUCUUUUUACUCUUUUCAAAAAUUUUACCUUAUUAUCAAAAUUUUCCUCAAAUCCUCAGUUUGAGUUCAGAUACGCCCGAAGAUGCAUCCGAAUCCCUCAAACCAAGGCUCUGAUACGAACUUGUAACACCGUAAAAAUUUAAACAAUUUUUCACAUUUUUGAAAACCAUAUAAUUUCAUUCACAUCCACAUUUUAAAACAUUUUAUCAUCAUUAUCUAAAUACAAAACACCAAGAUCAAAACAUAUGAACUCCAGUGUGCAUGUGUACGAGUCAUUCCGGCGCCUUCCCGCAAUCAUCGCUGGUACCUGCAACACCACACAUAACACUGUAAGCAUAAUUGCUUAGCGAGUUCCCCAAAAUACCACGUAAACACAUAUCAGCCACUCAAGGAUGUAACUCUAUUGACCCUCUGGUCGAAUACCUCUGUGGGACCCUCUUGGUACCAUAACUCUGUGGAACCACUGGUCCUAACUCUGUAAACUCUGAAUCAUGCAUAUCUCAUAUCACAAUAAAUCACAACACAUAAUAACAUGCAAAUACACUCGCAUAUAACUCUAAAAUACUCUGUCACAUAACUCUGUUACCACACUAGGUAAAGUAUAGUGAG